GACAGAGGCCUCAAGCGUUAGGCGGAAUCACUGGGCUUAAAGCGUGUGUAGGCGGAUCGUUAAGUGUCUUGUGAAAUCCCACGGCUCACCCGUGGAACUGCUGGGCAUACUGGCGAUCUUGGGCCAACUAGGGGCAGCCGGAACAAGCGGUGGAGCGGUGAAAUGCGUAGAUAUCGCUUGGAACGCCGAAGGUGAAAACAGGCUGCUGGGGUUGUGCCGACGCUGAGACACGAAAGCCAGGGGAGCAAACGGGG
This 254-nucleotide ribosomal RNA is filed under the name uncultured bacterium. Its description in RNAcentral is "partial 16S ribosomal RNA". It matches the Rfam family "Bacterial small subunit ribosomal RNA", at positions 524 to 777 of the family's 1533-position model. The record is from RNAcentral.